AACACUUUGCCUGCAAAACAGUAAGAACUGCUAAAACAAAACCCUGGUUAGGUCAGUGACCUGUGAUUGCUUGCUUUCUGGAGAUUGUCCAGACCUGUGAAAACAGUAUUUCAGCUCCUCUCUCCCCAGAACUGUACCUUCCAGUGCUCCCUCUCUGGCACCUUUCUAAGCCUCCGACAGUCACUCAUGUUGUGCAGCAUUAAUGACUUCGGAGUGAUGUGAUGGUAUAAUGGGCCUUUUCACACCUGUCAGGUAUGAGCUGCGUUAAGCAGUGUACGUGAGGUAUUUUUAGCUUGUGAAUAAAGUGAUAGAGGGAGAGGUACCCCAGGGGUCUUAUUUAAUUGCUGUGAAAAUGACUUUAAUAGAGAAAUAGACUUAGAGAGAGGACAGCACGGUGGGUGAGAUAUGCUCACUUCUGCCAUAUGGGAAUGACUGAUGCCCAGAUGAAGUACGUGCACAUAUAAACAAGCAGCAUGGUGAGCAGGCAGGAGGAAUCAGAGGGCUGCAGCCUCAUGGGCCACAGUGGUGUAGCGGGGCAUGCGAGCCCUGUGGGAAGGGCAGGUUGGGAAGGAAGGAGGAGUUGCCCUGUUGGAAAGCAGCAGGGGUGUGUGGUGCUCUGUGCUGCAGUGAGUGAUGUGCCAGCAGAGAGCUGUGGGAUCAGGAUUGCAGAUGGACAACAUGGGCAGCAUUGGGGUGGUACCUGACUAGGAAGAGGAAAUAGAAGAAUGGAAGAAGCUUCAUGCCUGUAGACUCUGGUUCUUGCAGGGAGCUUUAACCACCUCGGUAUCUGCUGGAAGGCAACUCAGGCAAACAACUUGUUUUCCUGAGUGGUGUACUGCCUACAUGUUUUACUAGAUUACAAAAUGCAGUUUAUUACUGAGUUUGGCUGUUAUAUCACGGAUCACAGAAUCAUUAAGGUUGGAACAGACCACUCAGAUCACCAUGUCCAACCGUCAACCCUCUGCUAUCGUACCACUGGAAACGUCUCUCAGUGCCAUAUCUCCAUGGAUCCUGACCACCUCCAGGAAUGAUGGCUUCACCAACUCUGUGGUCAGCUGUGCCACUGCAUAACCACUUUUCUGGAGAAUAAAUGUUUCCUAACGUCCAACCUGACCGUCCCAUGGUGCAACUUAAAGCCGUCGCUUCUCUUCCCAUUCCUGUUAUAUGGGAGCAAAAGCCAAUCCCCACUUCCUCAAACUCCUUUCAGGAAGUAAUAGAGAACAAUAUGCUCUCAACUGAGUCUCCUCUUAUCCAGCAUGAAUAAUCCCAGUUCCCUCAAGGGGAAUGUUUUCUGCAAGGUCACAGACAAAACAGAGCUUCCUAUGGAAAUGUAUCCAUUGAACUCAUUAAUAAAAAAGUACCCAGGG
This is a long non-coding RNA of Gallus gallus (chicken), 1367 nucleotides long. RefSeq lists it as uncharacterized. The record is from RefSeq and is a predicted model, not a curated record. The transcript is spliced from 3 exons. NCBI's taxonomy places the organism in Eukaryota, Metazoa, Chordata, Aves, Galliformes, Phasianidae.